This 2052-nucleotide long non-coding RNA is filed under the name Homo sapiens (human). RNAcentral's name for it is "HSALNT0010338". Lineage: Eukaryota; Metazoa; Chordata; Mammalia; Primates; Hominidae. The record is from RNAcentral.
GCACAUCUGCUGGUGGGUUCAACAAAAGGGGCUCCCUUUAAAGAAGAAGACUGAGAAGCUGGAAUGAAUCCAGAGGAAAGGAUGAAAAGCACUCGUUUGAUUACUGAGAGGAUAGCUGGAGAAGUGAAGAAUAAUGUGAUGUUCAGCUCAAACUCCUUGGGGGAAUUCGGUUGUGAAAAUGGAAUUACCCAAGUUGGAUUCCGCCCAGGAUGCCAAGCUUAAGUUAUUGGAAAAUAUUCCAGGUGCUGAGGAUAUAGAAGAAAACAGACAAAAAUCCCUGCCCUCAUGGAAUUUACAUUCCAAAGGGAGAAAGGUAAGAGAAUUUAAAAAGUAAAAUAUAUGAUAUGGAAAUGAUGAUAAAUGUCAUAUAGAAAAAUAAAACAAAGAAGGGUGCUAGGAAAUGCUGGUGAGAGUUGAGGAGGGGAAGGUAGCUCUUUUAAAUGUGGUGACCUGGUAAAGAUCUCACUUCAAACUGAUCUGGGGCCAGGUGCAGCGGCUCAUGCCUAUAAUCCCAGCACUUUGAGAGGUGUAGGCUAGAGGAUCGCUUGGGUUCAGGAAUUUGAGACAUAGCGAGAGCCUAUCUGUAUUUAAAACAACAAACACAAACUGAUCCAGAGGACAUUGCAUCAGACAGAUUAUAUUGUUAUCAUUUCACAGAUUAGGAAACUGAAGCUUAGAAUAUGAAAUCUUUUUCUUAGGAAAAGAUCUGUUUUCAGCUAUUCAUAUGUUAGAGUCUAUCUCUUCCCUAAGUAUUUGCAUGGCACUUGUUCUUUAGCAGUAGAAUGCAAAGCAAUUUGUACACGGUUAAGGAAUUUUAACACCAAAAGUUGUGCUGAAGGUCUGAGAGAAGAGGAGAGCUUUCAUCUCUUGGGACUCCUACAAUCACAAUGCCUUGGUUGGUGGGUCCUGCGUAUCUAGUCUUCCUCUUGACCUAGAACAAACCACUUCUGAUGCUAGGCAGGGCUCUGUGGCCACAGAACAGCUUUAUGUUGUAGUUUUCUCAGCCAAUUUUUAAUUAGACUUUGUUUUUGUUUUAGCAGUUUUAGGUGCACAACAACAUUGAACAGGAAGUACAGAGUGUUCCCACAAACCCCCUACCCUCACACCAUACAAUCUCCCCAACUAAUGACAUAUUGCCAGAACAGACUUAUUUACAAGGUUAACUUUUUCCCUGUCCUGCCCCUUUCUCACAGAUCAAAUCCGGGCUACAGAUUCCGUUGGUAUUGCUCUUUGGGUCCUGAGUCCCCCAUUGCCUACCUGGGCUGCCCAGGCUGUCAGGGGCCUGCCAUUCUCUCCUUGCAGAUGCACAGUACCUGCAGAGGAUGUACAACGGUGAGCAGGGCAAAUGGGCAAACAGAUGUCAUGGCUCCACAGUACUCGGGGCUGCAAGCUGUGUGGCUGAGGGCUGUUCCUGCCUCGUCCUGUCAACUCAGAGAACCUUCUCCCAGCCAAAGUUAUAAAUUCUUUUCUAGGAAUUUCUCAGCCCUGGAUUUCCCCUUUUGCUUUUUAGUUUCUCAUCCUGAGUUGGCUCAGUCUCUUCUUCAGACUUGCCUAAAAACUCCCCUUUUAGUGUUGAGCCUUGAAUAAAUUUUUGUCUGCUGCCACGGCUGAGUCACUGCCUAGGUGCUGUGUCCAUACUGUCUCUAGAAGGCUGCCUGGCCCUGGGGCUGAGAGGAAGCAGCGUCCAGCCAGACACCCACACUUUCAGACAGAGCCGCUUCUGAGAAGCAGUGGGGGCCCUAGAUUGGAUUUGGAUGGACGGACUGACAACAGAAAGGGCAUUUCUAUGAAUAUCCCAAUACUCUGUGUGCCCCGUCUGAUCAAAGUACAUAAAUAGAAAAUCCUGAAAUAGCAUACUGUAAGAAUUUGGACUUCACUUAACCCAAGUAAAUACAAGGAAGAUUUUUGUCUAAGACCCUCUCCACAAAGACAACUUGAGAGCCAGGUAAAUGGCUACAUCUGAACAAAAUAUUCAUAGCAGAUUUCAGAUUGUUUUCCUUCAGGUCCAAUUCCUGGAGGCUGAGUAGGCUGAACACAGCAUGAGGAAUACGC